CCUUACUGCUAUCGGGGUGGGACUAAGACAUGCGAGUCGAGCGUCUCUAGCUAUGUUGAGACGCGGCAGACGGCUCAGUAACACGUGGCUAACCUACCCUCAGGACGAGGAUAAACCCGGGAAACUGGGGCUAAUACUCGAUAGGUGAGGAUGUCUGGAAUGACUUCUCAUCUAAAGGGCCUUGGAAACAUGCUUCCAUUGUCGCCUGAGGAUGGGGCCGCGUCCGAUCAGGUUGUUGGUGGGGUAACGGCUCACCAAGCCUAUAACCGGUACGGGCCGUGAGAGCGGUAGCCCGGAGAUGGGUACUGAGACAAGGACCCAGGCCCUACGGGGCGCAGCAGUCGCGAAAACUCCGCAAUGCACGAAAGUGUGACGGGGCUACCCCGAGUGCCAUCCGCUGAGGAUGGCUUUUCUUUGGUAUAACUAGCCAGGGGAAUAAGGAGAGGGCAAGACUGGUGUCAGCCGCCGCGGUAAUACCAGCUCUCCGAGUGGUAGGGAUGAUAUUGGGCUUAAAGCGUCCGUAGCCGGCUCAGCAAGUUUCCUGUUAAAUUCAGCGACCUAAUCGUUGACCCGCGGGAAAUACUACUAAGCUAGGAGGCGGGAGAGGUCGACGGUACUUCUGGGGUAGGGGUGAAAUCCUAUAAUCCCGGGAGGACCACCAGUGGCGAAGGCUGUCGACUAGAACGCGCUCGACGGUGAGGGACGAAAGCUGGGGGAGCGAACCGGAUUAGAUACCCGGGUAGUCCCAGCCGUAAACGAUGCGAGCUAGGUGUUGGGAUGGCUACGUGCCAUUUCAGUGCCGCAGGGAAGCCAUUAAGCUCGCCGCCUGGGGAGUACGGCCGCAAGGCUGAAACUUAAAGGAAUUGGCGGGGGAGCACCACAAGGCGUGAAGCUUGCGGUUCA
This 903-nucleotide ribosomal RNA is filed under the name uncultured crenarchaeote. RNAcentral describes it as "bacterial SSU rRNA". It matches the Rfam family "Archaeal small subunit ribosomal RNA", at positions 21 to 904 of the family's 1478-position model. Lineage: Archaea; Thermoproteati; Thermoproteota. The record is from RNAcentral.